UCUUUCUUAUAUACCAAACGGUACAUGCCGAAGUACUAUCGAGAAACACGCUGUAACUGAUUUGCCACUUAGCGGCGGCAAUGCGCAUUACAUUUAAAUAACACGCACGGUAUUGUACACCUCUUACUCCAUAACCUUCAAAUCGUCCGAAUAAUAAUGGAAGUAUGGGUGUCGAGACAAUAGUGUAAUUUAAAGCGCGCAAAGUGACAUAUUGUUCAGAAACUAUGCGACUAAGAGGAUGGAGAUACAGUGUGUUUGUGGGAGGUAUAAUUGGCACCAUAGGAACAUGCUGUUACUUUUCUAUGAUACAACCCCUGAUCAAUCCUGAACCAUACAAGAGAAUUAGAGAACGAGCUUUCUCCUCAGGCAAGUCCAUGUGAGACUACUUCAAAGACUUGUAUUUGAUUCCUCUGACUGAAUGUAUCUUGUGUUGUGUUUGGAUUUUCUAUAUGUUCAUGUAUUCGAUGACAAUGGACAUAUGGGAAAUGUAUACUGAAGGC
Pseudomyrmex gracilis is the source of this 500-nucleotide long non-coding RNA. RefSeq lists it as uncharacterized. NCBI's taxonomy places the organism in Eukaryota, Metazoa, Arthropoda, Insecta, Hymenoptera, Formicidae. The transcript is spliced from 3 exons. The record is from RefSeq and is a predicted model, not a curated record.